CUUUAUACUUUUUGAGUUUGAUGAUAUUGUUUGUAACUUAUCUGAACAAAGAACAGCUUCUUCAAUUUCAUUUAAUUUUUCAUACCAUUCUGAACCUAAUUUCCUUCUUAAUUCCUGGAGUUCAUUUUGAAGUCUUAAUUUACCAAAUGUAUUUAAGUAAAUUCUAUCAUCUGUCUUACAAAAUCUUUAAUAAACGAAGUAAUAAAUCUAAAACCUUCUGUAUCUCUGAGAAGACUUCAAAUGAAAACCAGUUAAAUAACUUUGUUAUUAAUUCUUUUCUUACAGCAUCGCAAUCGCAACCAAAACCAAGAUUGUAUUUUGAAAUAAUAUUAUCUAGUGCUCUCAAUCGAAUUUCCUCGAUAUUAUGACCUGGAAAGAUUGAUAAAUUUUAUGCCCAUCUUUUGCUUUGCUAUACCAUAUAAUAAAAAAUUG
Molecule: unclassified non-coding RNA, 432 nt
Filed under: Bombus terrestris (buff-tailed bumblebee)
Lineage: Eukaryota; Metazoa; Arthropoda; Insecta; Hymenoptera; Apidae
Description: misc RNA ENSBTSG00005020894.1
Source: RNAcentral